ACGGAAGGCAGCAGUGGGGAAUAUUGCACAAUGGGGGAAACCCUGAUGCAGCGACGCCGCGUGAGUGAAGAAGUAUUUCGGUAUGUAAAGCUCUAUCAGCAGGGAAGAUAAUGACGGUACCUGACUAAGAAGCACCGGCUAAAUACGUGCCAGCAGUCGCGGUAAUACGUAUGGUGCAAGCGUUAUCCGGAUUUACUGGGUGUAAAGGGUGCGUAGGUGGUAUGGCAAGUCAGAAGUGAAAACUAUGGGCUCAACCCAUAGACUGCUUUUGAAACUGUCAAACUAGAGUGCAGGAGAGGUAAGAAGAAUUCCUAGUGUAGCGGUGAAAUGCGUAGAUAUUAGGAGGAAUACCAGUGGCGAAGGCGGCUUUCUGGACUGUUACUGACGCUGAGGCACGAAAGCGUGGGGAGCAAACAGGAUUAGAUACCCUGGUA
RNAcentral lists this ribosomal RNA (434 nucleotides) under uncultured Lachnospiraceae bacterium. RNAcentral describes it as "bacterial SSU rRNA". It matches the Rfam family "Bacterial small subunit ribosomal RNA", at positions 341 to 792 of the family's 1533-position model. The record is from RNAcentral. Lineage: Bacteria; Bacillati; Bacillota; Clostridia; Lachnospirales; Lachnospiraceae.